GGCCAGAUGCUUAUGAUGUAAAGUUGUCUC
Molecule: non-coding RNA, 30 nt
Filed under: Mus musculus (house mouse)
Lineage: Eukaryota; Metazoa; Chordata; Mammalia; Rodentia; Muridae
Source: RNAcentral